Molecule: ribosomal RNA, 253 nt
Filed under: uncultured bacterium
Lineage: Bacteria
Description: partial 16S ribosomal RNA
Rfam family: Bacterial small subunit ribosomal RNA
Source: RNAcentral
UACGUAGGGUGCAAGCGUUACUCGGAAUUACUGGGCGUAAAGCGUGCGCAGGCGGUUAUGUAAGUCAGGUGUGAAAUCCCCGGGCUUAACCUGGGAACUGCAUUUGUGACUGCAUAGCUGGAGUGCGGCAGAGGGGGAUGGAAUUCCGCGUGUAGCAGUGAAAUGCGUAGAUAUGCGGAGGAACACCGAUGGCGAAGGCAAUCCCCUGGGCCUGCACUGACGCUCAUGCACGAAAGCGUGGGGAGCAAACAGG